RNAcentral lists this ribosomal RNA (334 nucleotides) under uncultured eukaryote. Its description in RNAcentral is "partial 18S ribosomal RNA". It matches the Rfam family "Eukaryotic small subunit ribosomal RNA", at positions 1470 to 1796 of the family's 1831-position model. The record is from RNAcentral.
CCCUUAGAUGUCCGGGGCCGCACGCGCGCUACACUGAAGGAAUCAGCGUGGCUUUCUCCCUGACCCGAAAGGGUUGGGAAACCCGUUGAAUCUCCUUCGUGAUAGGGAUUGGGGCUUGAAAUUGUUCCCCAUGAACGAGGAAUUCCCAGUAAGCGCGAGUCAUAAGCUCGCGUUGAUUACGUCCCUGCCCUUUGUACACACCGCCCGUCGCUACUACCGAUUGAACGGCUUAGUGAGGGCCUCGGAUUGGUCUCGGCCCGCUCUUUACCGGGCGGCGCCGUUGGUCGAGAAGACGCUCGAACUUGAUCGUUUAGAGGAAGUAAAAGUCGUAACA